Alosa alosa (allis shad) is the source of this 717-nucleotide long non-coding RNA. RefSeq lists it as uncharacterized. NCBI's taxonomy places the organism in Eukaryota, Metazoa, Chordata, Actinopteri, Clupeiformes, Clupeidae. The record is from RefSeq and is a predicted model, not a curated record. The transcript has 3 exons.
GAAGACUUCCCAAAGGUCCAGACAACCACCAAACAAUCUGGAGGUGUAUGGCACGUCGGACUGCGUUUUAAUUAGGCACUUUGCACUGAGUAUAGAAGAUACUGGAUAUAUUAGGCACUGGUCAAAGGCCUAAAAUAAAUGAGAGAAUAAUUGAUCUAAUUCUCUCAGAAGACAAGACUGUCUGCAGAGACGCAUUUGUCUGACCGUAAAUCAUGUGAUGAACUAUGAAAUCAUCUGGUGCUGCGAGGACAAGAGACCGGACCUGGGGUCUCUGGCCUGCUGUGAACCAGAUGAAAAGAAAUGUCAUGGACUCUCAUUGGCUCUUCAUGGGGAUUCACAUAAAUCCCUUGAAAUUUGCUGUCCGGGCGCCAUUAUGAGACUGCAGGGAGGAGCUACAGUAUUGCUGACUUCUCAGCGAAAGGAGGUGACGUCCCCUGGCCUUAGGCAGAUAGACAACGGACCGGAGGAAGGCAGUUUACAAGAAAUGUAUGAAACUGUGGGCCAUUGUUGAGAACAGCAACUACCAUAACUUUUUUUUCUGGGCUCUUCUCAGCUUUUCUCAGCCCUUAUGCCUCUAAGAUUUUUCUCAGUUUCUCUCAAAACCUCAUUCUCAAAAAAAAAACUUUGUUGUGUCACCUUCAGUUCAAACACAGUUGCUCAACAUCAUCAAUUCACUCAAUGUCAACUUCAAAAUGCCCGCUAAUCUUGAAUAAAACA